UACGGGAGGCAGCAGUGGGGAAUAUUGCACAAUGGGCGAAAGCCUGAUGCAGCUAUGCCGCGUGUAUGAAGAAGGCCUUAGGGUUGUAAAGUACUUUCAUCGGGGAGGAAAAACAAAACUAAUAAUUUUAUUUCUUGACGUUUACCCGAAAAAGAAGCACCGGCUAACUCCGUGCCAGCAGCCGCGGUAAUACGGAGGGUGCUAGCGUUAAUCAGAAUUACUGGGCGUAAAGAGCACGUAGGUGGUUUUUUUAAGUCAGAUGUUGAAAUCCCUGGGCUUAACCUAGGAACUGCAUUUUGAAACUGAAAUACUAGAAGUAUCGUAGAGGGAGGUAGAAUUCUAGGUGUAGCGGUGAAAUGCGUAGAUAUCUGGAGGAAUACCUGUGGCGAAAGCGGCCUCCUAAACGAAUACUGACACUGAGGGUGCGAAAGCGUGGGGAGCAAACAGGGAUUAGGAUACC
RNAcentral lists this ribosomal RNA (460 nucleotides) under uncultured bacterium. RNAcentral's name for it is "bacterial SSU rRNA". It matches the Rfam family "Bacterial small subunit ribosomal RNA", at positions 340 to 786 of the family's 1533-position model. The record is from RNAcentral.